GUGGGGAAUUUUGGACAAUGGGCGAAAGCCUGAUCCAGCCAUGCCGCGUGCAGGAUGAAGGCCUUCGGGUUGUAAACUGCUUUUGUACGGAACGAAAAGACUCCUUCUAAUAAAGGUGGUCCAUGACGGUACCGUAAGAAUAAGCACCGGCUAACUACGUGCCAGCAGCCGCGGUAAUACGUAGGGUGCAAGCGUUAAUCGGAAUUACUGGGCGUAAAGCGUGCGCAGGCGGUUAUAUAAGACAGAUGUGAAAUCCCCGGGCUCAACCUGGGAACUGCAUUUGUGACUGUAUAGCUAGAGUACGGUAGAGGGGGAUGGAAUUCCGCGUGUAGCAGUGAAAUGCGUAGAUAUGCGGAGGAACACCGAUGGCGAAGGCAAUCCCCUGGGCCUGCACUGACGCUCAUGCACGAAAGCGUGGGGAGCAAACAGGAUUAGAAACCCUUGUAGUCC
This 450-nucleotide ribosomal RNA is filed under the name uncultured bacterium. RNAcentral describes it as "partial 16S ribosomal RNA". It matches the Rfam family "Bacterial small subunit ribosomal RNA", at positions 354 to 796 of the family's 1533-position model. The record is from RNAcentral.